AAGCUGCCAAGAGGAAGCCUUUCCUCUGACUCACUUCCAGGGGUUACCUGCAGGCAUAGGAGGACUCUGGUUUCCUAAGUGCAUUCACAUGUGCGGUGUGGUUCAGCCUCCCAACAACCUGCUGGAUAGAUGAGCCAGGAAUGUUGCCUUCUUUUAUCGAUGAAAAUGCCCAGACUCUGAGGAAGGAAGUCCCCAGAGCACAUAUGCGAUAAAGGCAUUUCAAGUUACAUUGUGAAACUGCGAUAAGAGAAGGACAAUCAAGUGCUGCUGGUUAUUGAAACGUGGGAGCGGGUACUUCCAGCCCAAACCUGGUAAAGAAAGAGCUUGUUGGAGCAGCCUGGAUAAUCCCUGGAUUCCUUGCUUUUCCAGCAACAGGCAUGAUAUAAAUUUAAAGCAGCAGUCAGUUUGCUUGAUCGGAAUAUGGUGGCUGCCCAAGGGUCAUCAGCCAGCACAGAUACUCCUGCCAACAGGAACAUGGCCAUGUGGUGAAGCUCAAAAGACAUCCAGCUGGGUUGUAAAUCAGCAGUGCUCUGACCUUUUAGAUGCUGACUCAUUACAGCAGAGUGGAAGACCUAAGCCUCCCCAACCUAUGCAUUCCUGCUUUCCAGAGCAAAAGACUUCUGUGAAGACCAAGAAUUGGAAUAGGCACAGUAACAAUAAAAUCUCUAAAAAUGCAUCAGUCAACCAACAUAAUGAACAACAAAAGCAAGUUCCAACACUUUUCUCAACUCUAUUAAUUAAUGCAAUAAGAGCAACAAUCCAAACCAACUUAAGACAGUGCUGACACUGUAUGGAGAAACUGACCUGUGAUCACAGAAAAUAGGGAUAAUAGCACCAACCUCUCAAGAUGGCUAUAAAGGUCGAUGAAAACACAUGCAAAGCACAGAUAUCAAUUUUGGAUCAGAGUAAGUGUUUAACAAGUGUUUGUUCAUUCAUGAGUGAUAGAACCUGAACUAAGUCUUCUAAUUCAGAAGCAAAUACUCUGUCAGGCUGCCAGGAGUCCCAAGUAUAUAGGAGAUUCAUAAUAAAACAGUGAUAAUCUUGAGAGCCUGAUACUGGGCCCAAAGAUCUUGUCCACUCACAGACAUCCUGGUCAGAUAGGAAUGGAUCUCAGGUCCAGGAUGUGACUCCAUCCAGUAAAGUUAAAGUCAUUUGCUA
Molecule: long non-coding RNA, 1158 nt
Filed under: Aotus nancymaae (Ma's night monkey)
Lineage: Eukaryota; Metazoa; Chordata; Mammalia; Primates; Aotidae
Description: lncRNA (ENSANAG00000039307.1)
Source: RNAcentral